RNAcentral lists this ribosomal RNA (480 nucleotides) under Triticum aestivum (bread wheat). RNAcentral's name for it is "partial small subunit ribosomal RNA". The record is from RNAcentral. Lineage: Eukaryota; Viridiplantae; Streptophyta; Magnoliopsida; Poales; Poaceae.
AUGGAUAUUAAGACAAAAUUGUUAUUUUGGAACAUGUGCGGCCUUAAUUGUGGUUCUAGGCGUGAUGCAGUUCACUCUAUCAUUUCUGCUUCCAACACCUCAGUGGUUUGCCUCCAGGAAACCAAGCUCGAACUCAUCUCCCCAGCGAUCGUCUGUGAAACUCUUGGACCGGCUUACCACGACUUGUUCUUCCUCCCCGUAGUUGGCACGCGCGGCGGAAUCCUUCUCGCCUGGCAAAACCAAGACAUGGCCGUUUCCAACCCCAUCCUUGGCCGCCACCACAUCAUGGCGCUGGUCUCAUUGCCGGACGGGGACCAUCCCUGGUGGAUUACUAGGGUAUACGCCCCCAGCAGGAUGACGAGAAGAUCAAUUUCCUGCCUGAUCUGCAUGAGGAGCAAGCCUCCCGCAUCGGCCCUUGGCUCCUGGGCGAGGACUUCAACACUAUUUUGUCUGCUGCCGACAAGAAUAAUGACCGUCUGA